GGAGAGUUGUCCGAGUGGUCGAAGGUGCGAAACUCGAAAUUUCGUGUCCCCUAACCGGGACCCAGGGUUCGAAUCCCUGACUCUCCGCCA
Molecule: transfer RNA, 90 nt
Filed under: Candidatus Allofournierella pullistercoris
Lineage: Bacteria; Bacillati; Bacillota; Clostridia; Eubacteriales; Oscillospiraceae
Description: Candidatus Fournierella pullistercoris (gut metagenome) tRNA-Ser
Rfam family: tRNA
About the family: Transfer RNA (tRNA) molecules are approximately 80 nucleotides in length. Their secondary structure includes four short double-helical elements and three loops (D, anti-codon, and T loops).
Source: RNAcentral